UAGGGAAUAUUGCGCAAUGGGGGAAACCCUGACGCAGCGACGCCGCGUGAGCGAUGAAGGCCUUCGGGUCGUAAAGCUCUGUCGUAUGGGAAUAAUUUUUGAAUGUACCAUAUAAGAAAGGAUCGGCUAACUUCGUGCCAGCAGCCGCGGUAAGACGAGGGAUCCUAGCGUUGUUCGGAAUCAUUGGGCGUAAAGCGGGUGUAGGUUGCUUUUUAAGUCAGGUGUGAAAGCCUAGGGCUCAACCCUAGAAGUGCAUCUGAUACUAUUAAGCUUGAGUGUGGAAGAGGCUAUUAGAAUUCCUGGUGUAGUGGUGAAAUACGUAGAUAUCAGGAGGAAUACCAGUUGCGAAGGCGGAUAGCUGGUCCAACACUGACACUAAGACCCGAAAGCGUGGGGAUCAAACA
Molecule: ribosomal RNA, 404 nt
Filed under: uncultured bacterium
Lineage: Bacteria
Description: bacterial SSU rRNA
Rfam family: Bacterial small subunit ribosomal RNA
Source: RNAcentral